GCGUCCAUUGUCUAAUGGAUAGGACAAAGGUCUUCUAAGCCUUUGGUAUAGGUUCAAAUCCUAUUGGACAUA
This is a non-coding RNA of Picea glauca (white spruce), 72 nucleotides long. The record is from Rfam. Lineage: Eukaryota; Viridiplantae; Streptophyta; Pinopsida; Pinales; Pinaceae.